Molecule: long non-coding RNA, 803 nt
Organism: Corvus hawaiiensis (hawaiian crow)
Lineage: Eukaryota; Metazoa; Chordata; Aves; Passeriformes; Corvidae
Exons: 4
Source: RefSeq, a predicted model, not a curated record
CACUUACUCAGCCUCUGUAACUUUUAAUUAAAACCCAGUUUUAGGACACCCCAUUGGGUAAUUUUUGAGCAAGAAUAAUUAAUGAGAUGUUCGGUCAAUGAAAAUGUUUCCACAGAGACACUAUAGACAUCAUCACAGAAGGUGUUUUGGGGGUCAAAAACUCAAGGUGGAAGAACCACUCAGCCAGAUCAUCCACAAAGACAGGAGGAGGAGUCUGCAACUCCUGACUGCAUCUAUUUCCUGAUUCUGUUACUGGUGUGAAGAAUCUGAACUGACUCUUCUUAAGUUACUCUAAUGUACCAGCUCUUGGAACCUCACUUCUUCUCCCACCUUGCAUCUGAAGUGAUCCAGUCAUAUCAAACAGGCAAGACACUUUGAUUGCAUAUUGCAGAGACUACAUAGGAUUUGCUGCCCUCCAGAGGAAAUGCUACUCACAUGGAAAACCAGAAAAUGCUGAUUAAAGGUUCCUUUGGUGCAGAUGAGGCCAAGCAGAAGAACGAGUCACAGCUAAAUUCCCAGACUGUUCUACACUAUGAUGUUUUGCCACAACUGCAGACCCACCUGUGAAUCUCCCUCCAAGGCAGCCUGUGCAUACAUCCGCAUGGAGAGCUCAAGGUCUUUAGACUGGUUCUGGUAACCAUAGUAGUAGAAAUCGCCCAUCUUCAAAUAAGCUGUGGAAGAAAUGAGCAGAAGAUCAUUUAGACUAUUUGUAGCAAUAGAAUUAACCAACUAUUAAUGUGAUGGAGAAGUUAAUAGUAAUUCUAUUUAAAGCACAAUAUUAAAAAACAAACACACUCGUCCUC